RNAcentral lists this small RNA (1535 nucleotides) under Rattus norvegicus (Norway rat). Its description in RNAcentral is "uncharacterized LOC103695171". The record is from RNAcentral. Lineage: Eukaryota; Metazoa; Chordata; Mammalia; Rodentia; Muridae.
AGGAGUCAAGGAAACCACAGAGCAACUGCCUACCCACUUCACUUGUGUUACAUGCAAGCAGAGAAUGACAGAGCCCAGCUUUGGACUGAUGCGAUCUCUCACAUUGGUCCUCUCCCAUCAUAGUGUCUGAAGCACAGAUACACGCACGCGCGCGCGCGCGCGCGCGCGCGCACACACACACACACACACACACACACACACACACACACUGCCCUUUACCUCCAUGAUGAUGAUGUGAUUUCCCAUUGCUUAUCUCUGGGUAUUUUGCCUCUCGCCAUGUUGCUCCCCUUAAUUCUACCCACAUCAUUCUGAUCCUUCUUUAUAUGAAUUUCAAUUUUACUCUUCUGGGUGGGGACCCUGUUCUCCUAGAACCAUGGCUGGUGCAGUGUUUCUAUGAAUAAGCCAGGAGGAUGUAGAUGAACUCGCUCUGCAUUAGGGAGUCCCUAGUGAGGGCUCCAGACCUUCCUUAUAUCACAUUUUCAUCUCUCAUUCAGAGCCACUGCUUACUUCAUUAUCAGUUUGAGCACGUUGGUCAGUCAUCGUAAUUAUAAGCUCUGUGAGGCUUGGGGUGAUGUUUGUCUUGUGCUCUAUGCCAUGCCUCAUGCUGUGACCUUUAUGGCAAUUUUUAAAAAAAUUUAUUCAUCAAUAGAAUGCAACACUUAGUUGAGUGACCACUACAUGUCUGAAGUAAAUGGUCAUCACAUCAUCAACACUCCUGUGUAGACAAUACAAGUAUUUUAGAUUAGACACACUUUUCCAUUUUUAGUGAUUUAUGGGAGCUCAUAUCCUAACCACCUAGUUCAUAAAACAACUUAGCAUUUAUAGUUCACGUUAUAAACUAUACAAAAGGGACUUCGGUGAAGCUCUAUUUUAGCGUCUGGCGACAAAAAUGUUGUUUCCUUUCUAAAAGUGGGCAAACCACCAACACAAAAGGAACGUAAAAGGCUAUGAUUAUCUAGUGAGAGGGCACAGUUGGCUUUGAGUCUAAGACUCCCGACUCUGGCUAGUUUCGUUCCCACUGAACAACAUUCCUGAGCCAUGUAGCAAAUCACAAGACCGGCCUGUCUUAGCUGACAGCCGAGGCUUAAAAGGCACCAUAGAAAACCGCCCUGUGGCAGUGCUGUGCUCAGAGCUAAAGCAGCCAAGGGCCUUUCAGAAAGAACUAUAAACAGUCGUGAUCAAGGGGAAACAUUGAAUGUUCUUCAACCAAGCUUUACUCUCUCAACUCACCCUCAGAAUCCGAUUGAAGUCUUCCUUGUCAACUCUUAGGAAGUGACAAUUAUCUUCCCGAAGAACAAUGGAUGCAGCUCUCGGAGCAUCGUUCACCAGAGCUAACUUGCCAAAGUCAUCUCCCUCAUGCAGGGUGCAGACCACACCCUGGGGAGAGCAGGACAGUCAGGAAAAAAAAAAGGGACCAAAAACCCUCCUUCCCCUCCCCUGCCACCAAACACCGUGCCUGUGAGUGGACUGCAUUAGUGUUAUAAUCAGAUUAAAAUGCUUCAUAUUUCUUUCACAGAAUAAACACAGUCAAUGAA